UCAUUGCACACACAGGAGUUGCAGCGAACCCCCUUGCGAACGGUGAGCUUUGUCCCCCUCGGUCGGUCCCCUCCCUUCUGCUCUGCCGCGUUCUUGCGUGGUUCGUGGUUAGACUUGGGGGGGAANCGGCCAGCCCAAGUUCUCACGCCCCCGGGCCGGANUCCCUCACGGGUGUUUUGGCCUGGUCGGNUGGGACUUGGUGUUUCCGAACACCCCCGAUGGCGCAAUGCAUCACAAACAGUAAAAUGACUGAGUGUAAAACAAAACUGGGGCUCUGCUCCCAUGCGUGCGCGCGUGUGUGUGUAGGCCCCCGAGUUGUGCGAUCAAAUGAAAAACAACUCUCAGCAACGGAUAUCUUGGCUCCUGCAACGAUGAAGAACGCAGCGAAAUGCGAUACGUAGUGUGAAUUGCAGAAUUCCGCGAAUCAUCGAGUCUUUGAACGCAAGUUGCGCCCGAGGCUUGCCCUCUGGCAUUUCUAACAGAGCGUCACCGCGACACCCACCGACCCCCCACUCCUCGAGCGAAAGUUCGAGUGUGUGUGGGGGUUGAGUGAAAGUGGCCGUCCCGGCGGAUGGGAGCCCGCGGGCCUCCAAUGGUCGGGUCGGCUGAAAUGGAGGGAAUUUGGCCGCCGUGGUGUGACACAGCCGGCGAUCGGGUGAUCCAAGUCCUCUUGGAACUCAAUGUGCGUCGGCCGUG
Molecule: ribosomal RNA, 696 nt
Filed under: Codriophorus aciculare
Lineage: Eukaryota; Viridiplantae; Streptophyta; Bryopsida; Grimmiales; Grimmiaceae
Description: eukaryotic LSU rRNA
Rfam family: 5.8S ribosomal RNA (bases 337-489)
Source: RNAcentral